Molecule: transfer RNA, 55 nt
Filed under: Heterorhabditis bacteriophora
Lineage: Eukaryota; Metazoa; Nematoda; Chromadorea; Rhabditida; Heterorhabditidae
Also listed under: 1 other name
Description: tRNA-Gln
Source: RNAcentral
UGUAAUUUAGUUUAGGUAGAAUGUUUGCUUUUGGUGCAAGAGGGUUUAAUUACAG